CUCUUUCUGGAGAUUUCUCUCUUGUGGUGUUUCCCUCUGAGUCUGCAUCUUCAGAGAUGGAAUAAUGUUACCUUGUUCAUGAAGUUCAUUUCAUCCUGGAGAGCUCUAACAGCAGUGUACAAGAGUCACUUCAUCCCCUCAAAUUGAAGUCAAUUGAACAACUACCUUGUGGCUUUCUGAAAGACAGAAGUUGCUUGAGAGAGCCAACAGCAUGUGACUGAAAAGGAUUAAGAAUAGAAUAUGCAACUGUAGCUGCAUAUGACAAAUAAACUGCAAGUGACAGAAACUGGGACUCAGUAAGGGAAGAAGUUCAUUUAGUCAUCUGAAAGAUGGCAACGCUGCUCUUAGGAAAUUGCUAACUUUAUGAAUCUUGGAACUAGGUUUUACAUCUUAUCUGAAACAUAAUUUAUCAGCAUGAAGUUAAGGCAUUGUUUUACUAGCUGAAAUGGAAGCGAGUCAUUUUUGUAAAUCUGAUGUCAUGUCAUUCACUUAAUUUUUUUUUGCUGAAUUUCAUGUAUCAGUCCUGAUGAUAAAGCAAGGUUCAUUUGGUGGGGGGAUUCAAUAGGUCACCUAAUUCUGAACCUUAAUUCAAGGUCAGUAUUAUGAUUUGAGUGUACCCACCAUUCCAGAGAGGCAUUUGAUUAACUGUAUUUGUUAAAAUCCAUCAAGGGAUGGAGGUUCCACAGUGCUGCAUGCUAAUAAUUAGAACUGCUGAUGUCCAAACUACGUUUCCCUGUCAAACUUCCUUACAGAGUUUCCUAUUUCAGUGUGUAUGAACCCUCUGAUGCACAUCAAUGAAUGUCAUGCCUGUAGAAGUAUCCCAGGCAUAAAGUGUGUGAGCUGUGCUGUUGGUCAAAGAACGCUUUAAAAACCUGAUGUUAUGGAGAAUAUCACUUUUUAUACAGUACUGAGCCAUAUUGAGUUGCUUCUUUUUCCUACUUUGCUCCAAGCAAUAAUAAACAUACCACAAGAAAUUACAUUUGUUCUUUGAGAAAUUUAACUGAAAGUUUAGUUUGUUUCAAUAUCGAGUACUGGUAUUAGGAAAGAAGUAUUAUAGUUGCUAUCUUAAACAUAACAUCAAAUCUUGUGUUAGUGGAGAAUGAAAAUAAGUUCCACUGAUACAUGAAUUUGAAAACUUUAUCAACAGUGUACAUGAGAUCUUUCUCAUCUUGAAAAAAAAUUAGUAAUACCAAUCUGGGCUGUGGGCCAAUCAGCCUCCCUUCAGGCUCUAUGAUUUUUUUGGAGGUUGAUAUAGUCCUGAUGGAAGCUGUUUCUGAGCAUGGCAAGUACAAGAAGGUUAUCUGGAGGAAGUUAGCACAGUUUUCCUAGGGACAAGUUGUGCCCAGCGAGCCUGAUUGCUUUCUCUGAUCCAAUGACUGAUAUUGUGGAUGAAGGGAAAGAAGUUCAUGCAGUUUGAAUGUGUAUGUCAUUGAGCAUGGCUUUCUAUAUACUGUCCAUAGCAUCCUGCUAGUCAAACUGAAGAGACUGAUGCUGGAGAUGGACUAUAAGAUAAGUGAUGGCACAAGGAAAUGUGGAUGAAAGUAUCAAGGAAGUGUUUGACCCAUGACAGAAAGAUAUAUCUUUUUAAGAAAUGAUUACUAAUACCUGUCCUUUACUUUCUGUCUACCAUGGCAGAGAGAGAUUGUGAAUAUAAAGACAGCUGAGGGCUUGACUUCAUCAGAAAAGUCAAUUGAUUAUCAUUAUAAAAGUUAUAUAGUUGUAUAUAAUCAUCUCAUACACUGUGUGUAUAAUAUAUUUACAUUGUAUUUUGUUUCAUCUGGUAUGUUCACAAAGAACAGUUUAUUGUGUUUCUCUUUAAAACUACUUUUUGAUGAAGUAGCUGAUGAAUGUGUCAUAAAAGGUCUUAUACUGUAUCUUGAACUUUUACUGUGUGUUGGAUAGCAACAGAAACUCAGGUUUGGAAAUGCACCUUCUAUGAAAAUAAAAUCAAAAUAAUAUUU
This 1961-nucleotide long non-coding RNA is filed under the name Gallus gallus (chicken). Its description in RNAcentral is "lncRNA (ENSGALG00010021547.1)". Lineage: Eukaryota; Metazoa; Chordata; Aves; Galliformes; Phasianidae. The record is from RNAcentral.